AUUCCAUGAUGCGGGCACUUUCGUAAUAAUUCUUUAUACCUUUCCCAGGCUUCAUACAAUGACUCAUCAUCCAUUUGGUGGAAAGCAGUGAUCUCGUUCCUCAACUU
Gossypium raimondii (Peruvian cotton) is the source of this 107-nucleotide small nucleolar RNA. It matches the Rfam family "Plant small nucleolar RNA R71". Rfam says of the family: R71 is a member of the C/D box family of snoRNAs containing the C (UGAUGA) and D (CUGA) box motifs. Multiple nearly identical copies of this snoRNA have been identified in Arabidopsis, and it is thought to function as a 2'-O-ribose methylation guide for 18S ribosomal RNA. The record is from Rfam. NCBI's taxonomy places the organism in Eukaryota, Viridiplantae, Streptophyta, Magnoliopsida, Malvales, Malvaceae.